RNA transcript from Dioscorea cayenensis subsp. rotundata (Guinea yam), 2115 nucleotides. It is a transcript of the gene named ankyrin repeat domain-containing protein 2A-like, with no coding region annotated. The transcript has 9 exons. Lineage: Eukaryota; Viridiplantae; Streptophyta; Magnoliopsida; Dioscoreales; Dioscoreaceae. The record is from RefSeq and is a predicted model, not a curated record.
GAUCGGCCGGGGCAUUGCCCGCAAUCCAUAGGUCUCGCUCAAAAUCUCGCCCUCACGCUCCUUAUCCAGUUAUCCUUGUACGCCUAAUCCCUGGUGGCCUAAUAGUUUACCUACUCCUGAAUGAGUGAGCCUAGCCCCCUCGUUUUCCAAGCUUGAAUUCUGGCCGCGGACAUGUCUUCUCUUGCGCCUGCGGGGGUGAAUCAGGAAGGAGAGGAGAAACCUACUUCGGAAGAGAAGAAUGCGGAGGGUUCCACUUCCCAGCCGCAAGCAGGGCGAAGAAGGGUACCGUCAGCACCAACGCCGGAAUUUCCUGCAAACGCUUUUGACUUCUCUUCUAUGGCUGGCCUCCUUAACGACCCAUCCAUAAAAGAAUUAGCACAACAAAUAGCCAAGGAUCCUGUAUUUACCCAUAUGGCAGAGCAACUGCAGAAAACUGUGCAAGGUGUGGGUCAAGAUGGCACUCCUCAGUUGGACACCCAGCGGUACAUAUCAACCAUGCAGCAGGUUAUGCAAAAUCCUCAAUUUAUGACAAUGGCUGAGCGUCUUGGAACUGCUUUGAUGCAGGACCCAGGUCUGUCUAGCAUGUUGGAGAGUUUGACAAAUCCCUCUCGAAAGGAGCAACUUGAAGAGCAUAUGACGCGCAUCAAGAAAGACCCAUCACUUAAACCAAUUCUUGAUGAAAUUGAGAGUGGAGGUCCAGCUGCGAUGAUGAAGUACUGGAAUGAUCCUGAUAUUCUACAAAAACUAGGCCAUGCCAUGGGCAUUGGGACUUCAGGGGAAGGUGAAGCUUCGGUGGAACGGUCUGUUGCUGAAGAAGUACAAGAAGAAAGUGGCUAUGAGGAUGAGUCAAUUGUUCAUCACACUGCUAGUAUUGGUGAUGUGGAGGGUCUGAAGAAUGCCCUUGCUGCUGGAGCAGACAAGAAUGAAGAAGAUUCAGAAGGAAGAACAGCUUUGCAUUUUGCUUGCGGAUAUGGCGAGGUGAAGUGUGCUCAAGUCCUCCUUGAGGCUGGGGCCUUGGUUGACGCACUGGACAAGAACAAAAACACUGCUCUUCAUUAUGCUGCUGGUUACGGACGAAAGGAGUGUGUGGAACUUCUGCUAGAGAAUGGUGCUGCUGUGUAGGUUUUCCUGCAAAAGAUCACCCUGCAAAAUCUGGAUGGGAAAACCCCUGUUGAUGUCGCUAAACUGAACAACCAGGAGGAGGUACUCAAACUGCUUGAAAAGUUUGCAUUCUUGUGAUCCAGGCCUAUGAAAGAGGCAAGUUUUCUCUGUUCGAAAUCUGCUAGUGGUCUGUGUUGUGUGCAAUGGACUUCAGUCAGACUGUUUUUGAGUGAUGAUCACAUUUCUUCCCCUGAGUUCAUUUUCACUGCCACCAUGUUAUUUUUUUUCCUUGUUAAGUGAUGAUUCAUCAUUAAUUAUCUCUUAGCAAAUAUGUUUAGAUAUUAUGCACCCUCUCUCAAACUCUGAUGAACUUGCCAUCAAAAUUCGGAAGCACACGCAUCAUGUUGGGAUAGUUUCUACUGUCGUACAUUUUUCUGCCUGAAAAGAAUAUAAGUGAACAUACUUUCCGUGAAAACCAUAUUUUCUGUUGUUUAGUUUGUACUCGGGAGAAUUUUGUUUAAUAUGCGCAUUUCUGAGGUUGACACAACUUGUUUCAAUGGGAAGUUGUUAUGUAACUUUGUAUUUUUUUCUACCUAAGGGUACAUUUUGUCUAUGAAAACGAUAUAUUCUGAUGUUAAGUAUGGACUCUGGAGUACUUGGUUUAAAAUGUGCUAACAUGUGUGCAUUUCUGAGCUUGAUGCAACCUGCGUCAACUGGCAGUUGAAGUUGAUCGUUCCGCAUGUUGCAAACAAAAUCUAAGGGUGGUUGCGUGAGGAUUUCAAUAAAUCUAUAUCAGCACUUGAAUGACAUGUUGGCACACCCAGCUGGCAAAGCCAUGUCACCUAAUGAGGGAAGGCCAACAUGGAGGAUGGUAGAUGACGUAGCCAACAUUAGGUGGCAUGGCUUUGGCAGCUGAGCAUGCAAACAUGUCAUUCAAGUGCUAACAUAGACUUUUCGGUGCUCAACUCAUCAUAAUUUGGUCGGGAAUGCCUCGGGUAACUAUGCUGUGAAACA